Molecule: ribosomal RNA, 451 nt
Filed under: uncultured bacterium
Lineage: Bacteria
Description: bacterial SSU rRNA
Rfam family: Bacterial small subunit ribosomal RNA
Source: RNAcentral
GACGAACGCUGGCGGCGCGCCUAACACAUGCAAGUCGAACGAGCGAGAGAGAGCUUGCUUUCUCGAGCGAGUGGCGAACGGGUGAGUAACGCGUGAGGAACCUGCCUCAAAGAGGGGGACAACAGUUGGAAACGACUGCUAAUACCGCAUAAGCCCACGGGUCGGCAUCGACCAGAGGGAGAAGGAGCAAUCCGCUUUGAGAUGGCCUCGCGUCCGAUUAGCUAGUUGGUGAGGUAAUGGCCCACCAAGGCGACGAUCGGUAGCCGGACUGAGAGGUUGAACGGCCACAUUGGGACUGAGACACGGCCCAGACUCCUACGGGAGGCAGCAGUGGGGAAUAUUGCACAAUGGGGGAAACCCUGAUGCAGCGACGCCGCGUGGAGGAAGAAGGUCUUCGGAUUGUAAACUCCUGUUGUUGAGGAAGAUAAUGACGGUACUCAACAAGGAAGUG